AGCGAACGCUGGCGGCAGGCUUAACACAUGCAAGUCGAGCGGGCACUUUCGGGUUUCUGCGGCGGACGGGUGAGUAACGCGUGGGAACGUGCCCUCUGGUCCGGAAUAACCCAGGGAAACUUGAGCUAAUACCGGAUACGCUCUCUUGGGGAAAGGCUUGCUGCCGGAGGCUCGGUCCGCGUCUGAUUAGCUAGUGGGUGGGGUAACGGCUUACCAAGGCGAGGAUGAGUAGCUGGCUUGAGAGGAUGCUAAGCUACACUGGGACUGAGACACGGACCAGAACCGUACGCAGGGGAGGAGAGGGGAAUAUAAGGCGAGGGGGGCAGAUGUAACAAAGCCGUGCGGGGUGAGUGGUGCAGGGGGUAGUGUUGUACAGCCGCUUUAUCCGAGACGAUAAUGACGGUAACGGGGAAAUAAGCCCCGGCUAACUACGUG
This 435-nucleotide ribosomal RNA is filed under the name uncultured bacterium. Its description in RNAcentral is "partial 16S ribosomal RNA". It matches the Rfam family "Bacterial small subunit ribosomal RNA", at positions 30 to 507 of the family's 1533-position model. The record is from RNAcentral.